AGCGAACGCUGCGGCAUGCUUAACACAUGCAAGUCGCACGGGCGGGGGCAACUCCGUCAGUGGCGGACGGGUGAGUAACGCGUAGGAAUCUANCCUUGAAUGGGGGACAACCGUGGGAAACUACGGCUAAUACCGCAUGAUGCCUGAGGGCCAAAGACGAAAGUCGUUUGAGGAGGAGCCUGCGUCUGAUUAGGUAGUUGGUGGGGUAAAGGCCUACCCAAGCCUACGAUCAGUAGCUGGUCUGAGAGGAUGAUCAGCCACAUUGGGACUGAGACACGGCCCAAACUCCUACGGGAGGCAGCAGUGGGGAAUAUUGGACAAUGGGCGCAAGCCUGAUCCAGCAAUGCCGCGUGGGUGAAGAAGGUCUUCGGAUUGUAAAGCCCUUUUGGCGGGGACGAUGAUGACGGUACCCGCAGAAUAAGCUCCGGCUAACUUCGUG
This 439-nucleotide ribosomal RNA is filed under the name uncultured bacterium. RNAcentral describes it as "bacterial SSU rRNA". It matches the Rfam family "Bacterial small subunit ribosomal RNA", at positions 29 to 507 of the family's 1533-position model. The record is from RNAcentral.